AUGGGACCUGGACGAACAGUCCGGCCACCAAGAAAUGCCCCGCAAUCUCAAGGUCAACAUUCUGGGAGUACCUCAGCAUCAAAAUCCAGGAAGGUACGUGGGAUAAAUAAGGGAAAGGGCUUGGAGCGUUUGAUCAAAAGGGCAGGUCAUCCACUAAACUUGACCAUCUCCGAAGAGAGAAGACCUAUUGGAGAAAAUAAUGAAUUACUUUCCAGAGAGAUUGGACUUCUUACACGGUACCAUGCACCUAUCCAACGUGCCGGGUGGCAUAGUCUGACUGAGGAUGAUAAGGAGCCGUUGUAUGAACUUCUAAAGCUUAAGUUCAAUCUUGAUUUCACCCAAGAUCAUAUCAAAGGCUGUGUGGAUCUGCUAUUCUCUUCAAGCUACAAAAGUUUCCGUCACAAGUGUUAUGAACAUUAUGUAAAAUCUGGUGAUGAUGCUAGAAGCAAUCCAUAUCCUCCCCUUAUUGAUAAUAGAGUUGGAGACUGGAUUUGGCUCUGUGAUCAUUUUGAAACAGAAGAAUUUAAGAAACGGUCCACAAUUGGGAAGGCUAACCGCUCAAACCUACCUUAUGUUCACAAGAAGGGAACAAAGUCAUUUGUAGCGGUUCAACAUGAAUUAAAUUGUGGCGAUAUCAGACUAUACAAGGAGUGUUACUCUAGUGAUAAGAAGGGAUGGGCAUCAGAAGAUGCCAGGAAUAAACAUGAAGAAAUGUUGCAGAAGCAAAAGGAACCUAUAGAGGAGGGUGAAGUACCUUUAACAGAGCAACAGAUUUGCGAGCAUGUGCUAGGUAAGGCAUAUGGUUACGUCAGAGGUCGGGGUCAUGGACCAAAACCAAAUAGAAGGGCUUACUCAAGCGCAUCAAGCUCAACUCAGCAUGUAGUGGAAGAAUUGGCCUCUACAAAGGAGAUUGUUGCUACGCAGCAAACUCAAAUUGAGGCUCAACAAUCUCAACUUGAAGCUCAACAGAAGAAGAUCGAUUGGCUACAAAGUGUCGUGUCUAACUUGGUUGGCAUUUCACCUCCUAUGGACGGCACUAGUGCAACAGGGCUAGGUUUCACAACUGAGCGGCCAAUGCCAUCUGACGGAAUAGGUUCGCUGAUAUCUAACACUGUAGAAAGGAUGUCAAGUUUUCCAAGAUCAUUUGCAAGUCAUUUGAGGCCAGGAUAUAGACCUGCUCCAACUUCUUCUUCUGAUGGCAAUGGCUCUCUGGUGUCGGAUGGAGGGUCCAGGUAUUCAUGA
This 1242-nucleotide ribosomal RNA is filed under the name Triticum aestivum (bread wheat). Its description in RNAcentral is "partial small subunit ribosomal RNA". Lineage: Eukaryota; Viridiplantae; Streptophyta; Magnoliopsida; Poales; Poaceae. The record is from RNAcentral.